RNAcentral lists this unclassified non-coding RNA (1945 nucleotides) under Cyanidioschyzon merolae strain 10D. RNAcentral's name for it is "hypothetical transcript". The record is from RNAcentral. Lineage: Eukaryota; Rhodophyta; Bangiophyceae; Cyanidiales; Cyanidiaceae.
CGUGGGUGCUUGCUGGGCAGUGUUUCCCAUCGGGUCUGUACCGCUUGGCGCCGCUCCUGCAUAUCCCGCGGAAGCGGCUGUGCUCACGCCAAGAGAUUACCCGUACGUCUGGGCAGCAGUUCGAUACCCGCUGUCGAUGAUCUGGUUGGAGCGUAGAAUCGCCAAGCGCGGUUUCCUUGUGACGCAGCGAUGACGCAUCGUACUGGCGCUCCCAGUGACAGAGGCUUGCGGAACGCACACGCUCGGAGCUAGGCAGGUGACAACGCCGUCCCGUUGCGAGCGGCAAUAUAGGUGCCAACCUAAAGCAGCGGAUGCCAGCGUGCGACAGAGAGAGGCCCGUUUGCCCGUGUUUUCUACUUGAAGAUUCUCUGGUUACAGGCAUGGUACGUAGGAACGAUGAUCCGAACUCGGCACCGUCAGAUGCGCCGCUGCCGCUAAUAACUCGGGAAGAAACCUUCGUUUCUUGCUGCGUGCUUCAGGGUUCUUGCAGCGCCUCUCCCGAGUUCCGCACGGGUACUCAGAUUUGACGAGCGAACGACCCUCGAGCUGCAGCGUCUACCGCAGACAUUGUAUAGAGUCAUGGCCCCAUUGAUGUGUUUCUGGAGAGGCUUGCUCGGGGCCAUCCGCAAAAACUGGCGUUGCACCAAACCCAUGUCAGAGUAAUAUGACACCGCUUCAGUCAGCUGACUCUAGCGAACACAUUCAAGUUUAGAUCGCGUUUUGCGAUCAUCGAUGCCAGAACUUGGCCGUUUUUCCUUCGACUGCUUCUUUUAGUACGUCGUAUCCCCGGCUUGAAAUGCGCUGGUAUCUCGUUGCGGUCCAGUUCCGUUUAUCAACAGUGAGAGGAUACUGAUGCCAGCGCUUUAGUACAUAUUUCGUCGGUUCCGACAAUUGUUGACCCCUUGCAUGCACAGGCGAACGUUGUGAUCGUUUCCGAGUUUCAUCUGCUUUGUAUAUAGCCUCGGCGCUUGCAUAUUAGCGGUGCCACGUUCGUGGGGGAGGGGUCAGGUAUUGGCCUACGUCCGCAAGGGUGCCGCCUCUUUCUCCAAGCACUGGCCCUAGGUGCGUGAAAGCUUGGUUCACCGAACGGCGCAUGCCCGUGAAAAGCACUGACGGGUACCCUGAAUAUCCAUAUUUGUUUCCGCUCUCUGUGCCGUAUCCUAGGACCAUGGACUCCUACUGCUCGGCGAUUUCCUCGACAAGAACGGUGUCCGCUGCAUGUGCAAGCACACACUGUUACAGUCGGCGGAGCGUUUAUGGAACGCAAUGCUUUCCAUGAUGAAAUGAAUGUCGGAAGAAAAACCGGGACCGUCGAUCAACUCGAGAAAUUCGAUCCUCCUGCGCUAACUUCGUGCAAACCGGCGAAUUACUCCCUAUUUGAAGUGAUCGCUGCGGUGACUCAGUUCCGAGUCCAGGAACCUUAUCUAUUCGAAUAGAGGAGGUGGGAGCGUCUGCGAGCAAAUGCGACAAGUAGUAUCAUGCCGCUGUCGAAUCCAGUUCCGUCGAUAGCCAUAAAGCGAGGCGGAUGCAUUUUUUGAACGGAGUCGAUUAUUGAUCGUGACAAGCAGAGUGAUGUUUUAGGCACGAGCUUGUACACAAACCACCAAGGGAUGAUGUCGCGUUGUUUUCCUCGUCGAUAGAGCGGUACGCAUUGAUGCGUCCACGGGUUGGCGUGCAUCAGAAAGGUCGCAAACCCGAAACACGCGUGCAUUGAGUAUGCCACAUGUAAGGAAAGGACGGGAACGAAGCCUGCAGAUAUGGAUUUGAUAUUGGUAUCCGUUAUUUAACAAACCCCUUGGUGGACGGUGUCGCGAACCCUCCUGUUGACGAUGAUGAAACGAGCGGCUUCUGUCGAGCGUUGCAUGCGCUACGCGGAAUACGUGUUCGAGAACCCAAAACUGCUUUUAUCCAUAAGCCCUUAUUGCUGCAUAUCGAUUGUCGAGGC